RNAcentral lists this ribosomal RNA (777 nucleotides) under uncultured Bacilli bacterium. RNAcentral's name for it is "bacterial SSU rRNA". It matches the Rfam family "Bacterial small subunit ribosomal RNA", at positions 28 to 776 of the family's 1533-position model. The record is from RNAcentral. Lineage: Bacteria; Bacillati; Bacillota; Bacilli.
GACGAACGCUGGCGGCGUGCCUAAUACAUGCAAGUCGAACGCUUUUUCUUUCACGCGGAGCUUGCUCCACCGAAAGAAAAAGAGUGGCGAACGGGUGAGUAACACGUGGGUAACCUGCCCAUCAGAAGGGGAUAACACUUGGAAACAGGUGCUAAUACCGUAUAACACUAUUUUCCGCAUGGAAGAAAGUUGAAAGGCGCUUUUGCGUCACUGAUGGAUGGACCCGCGGUGCAUUAGCUAGUUGGUGAGGUAACGGCUCACCAAGGCCACGAUGCAUAGCCGACCUGAGAGGGUGAUCGGCCACACUGGGACUGAGACACGGCCCAGACUCCUACGGGAGGCAGCAGUAGGGAAUCUUCGGCAAUGGACGAAAGUCUGACCGAGCAACGCCGCGUGAGUGAAGAAGGUUUUCGGAUCGUAAAACUCUGUUGUUAGAGAAGAACAAGGAUGAGAGUAGAACGUUCAUCCCUUGACGGUAUCUAACCAGAAAGCCACGGCUAACUACGUGCCAGCAGCCGCGGUAAUACGUAGGUGGCAAGCGUUGUCCGGAUUUAUUGGGCGUAAAGCGAGCGCAGGCGGUUUCUUAAGUCUGAUGUGAAAGCCCCCGGCUCAACCGGGGAGGGUCAUUGGAAACUGGGAGACUUGAGUGCAGAAGAGGAGAGUGGAAUUCCAUGUGUAGCGGUGAAAUGCGUAGAUAUAUGGAGGAACACCAGUGGCGAAGGCGGCUCUCUGGUCUGUAACUGACGCUGAGGCUCGAAAGCGUGCGGAGCGAACAGG